GGCCCAGCCCCGGGAGGAGGAGGGGGCGCGACCAGUGCCAGCUUCAGCUUCUGCAGAGCUCCAGGUCCUGGGGUUGCAGGCGCGGGCCAAGCAUCUGAGCAGGCGCAAAGGACGGGGUCCGAUUCCCCAGAAAGAAACCCUGAGUUUUCUGUGUCAGUAUUUUCCCCGCCAUCUAUGCGUCCACUUUCAAAACCGACAGUGGAAAAUGCCUAACCCGUUUCUCCGCCUAAGAUCAUUCUUGAAGUUUUGGAUCCCCUGCAGAGCACAGCAAGGCUCCGGACUUUGUCCCGCGAGGAGUGACAGGUCUCGGGCCUCUUCCGUCCGCGGGAGGAAGCGGGGCUCCAGGCGGUGCGAGGACUGCGUGUGCCUUCCCCACACCCGCCCUCUGGGGACCUUGCCCCACAGCUUGGCUUUCCAGAGCUUUCUAGCCUACGGGGUCCCAGGGUCGGGACUGCAGGAGAGCCAGCUGGGACCUGACUGCCUCUGAAUCCCGCUGGGACCUGUUGGACCGCGCUUGUGUCGACGCAGUUCCACUCCCUUCACGCCAGGGGCGGCCUACGCGUCCCGAUGUAGAUCACUGCGUGCGUGCACGGAGGUGAAAUGUUUGAAAAAGCAGUUUCAGACUCUUCUUUGAAGAAGGAAGCAAAUGCCUAUGGUGACAAUGUUGAAGGGAGAAUGUUUCAUCCCGGGAUGUCCUACGCCUACUUACCGAUGGCUGUCUGAUCUCGGUUGACUGCAGGUCAUUAAAGCCCUGGAAAUGAAAGCAUCGACACAGGGGACAACUGCUCUUCCACUGCCACCGACCUGGUCCAAAUGAAGUCACCACCCCAGAGAACUGCCCUGACAGUCUCCCAGCUGGUCUUGCUUCUUCCUGCUGGCCCUUCCCAGUCUCCUCUCAGGAGAGCAGCUCCUGCGGUCCUUUAGGAAGUGAACAAGAGGCGGGAAGGACCCUUCCUAAAGGCCAACAGCUUCCCUUCUCCU
Non-coding RNA from Heterocephalus glaber (naked mole-rat), 981 nucleotides. NCBI's taxonomy places the organism in Eukaryota, Metazoa, Chordata, Mammalia, Rodentia, Bathyergidae. The record is from RefSeq and is a predicted model, not a curated record.